This 253-nucleotide ribosomal RNA is filed under the name uncultured bacterium. RNAcentral's name for it is "partial 16S ribosomal RNA". It matches the Rfam family "Bacterial small subunit ribosomal RNA", at positions 524 to 776 of the family's 1533-position model. The record is from RNAcentral.
UACGGGGGGGGCAAGCGUUGUUCGGAAUUACUGGGCGUAAAGGGCGUGUAGGCGGUCAGGUUAGUGAGAUGUGAAACGCCCCGGCUCACCCGGGGACCUGCAUCUCAAACUGCCUGGCUUGAGUAUGGGAGAGGAUGAGGGAAUUCCUGGUGUAGCGGUGAAAUGCGUAGAUAUCAGGAGGAACACCGGUGGCGAAAGCGCUCAUCUGGCCCAAUACUGACGCUGAGGCGCGAAAGCUAGGGGAGCAAACGGG